UACGUAGGGGGCGAGCGUUGUCCGGAUUUAUUGGGCGUAAAGAGCUCGUAGGUGGCUUGGUAAGUCGGGUGUGAAAGUCCGAGGCUCAACCUCGGAAUGGCAUUCGAUACUGCUUGGCUUGAGGCAGGUAGGGGGGAGUGGAAUUCCCGGUGUAGCGGUGGAAUGCGCAGAUAUCGGGAGGAACACCGGUGGCGAAGGCGACUCCCUGGGCCUGUCCUGACGCUGAGGAGCGAAAGCGUGGGGAGCGAACAGG
RNAcentral lists this ribosomal RNA (253 nucleotides) under uncultured bacterium. RNAcentral's name for it is "partial 16S ribosomal RNA". It matches the Rfam family "Bacterial small subunit ribosomal RNA", at positions 524 to 776 of the family's 1533-position model. The record is from RNAcentral.